GCACUACAUAAACCAGAUGAACUCUUCACAUUCACUUAUUGGCACCCCAAGGCUACUUCCAUGACCAUGCACUAUAUGGAAAACUUCAGACCUGGGGAUAGCCGAGGACCCGCUAGCAAAAGAUUGGAAAUCUAUAUUUUAUUCUUCUUUGGGGGAGCUUUUGGAGGGCCAAAAAGUACUUUAUGACCUUCUAAAAUCGCUUUUAAAUGAAAUAAGGAUGUUUAGUAAAAAUUUUGAAAAACCGUUUUAGCUUUUUCAGAAAGCUAAUAACAACUUUUUGGAAGAAGCUCCAUUUAAAGCUUUCUGAAAAAAUAUUUUUAGUCUCAGUCGAAAAGUUUUUUUUUUUACCAAAAUACAUAUGAUAAAAUAUAACAAUUACACAAAACAUCCCUUUAAUAAUUAUUUAACCAAUUUUAUCACCCAGCCAAAAAAUUUAUUAUAUUAUAAAAAAUUAUUUUAUGCUAAUAAUUAUAAUAUUUUAUAUCUUUAUUAUUGUAUUAUACUAUAAAUAUAUUAUUAUAUUACAUUAUAUCAUAAUAUAUUGAUAUAUUAUAUUAAAUAAUUUAAUAUUAUAUUAAAUUAUUAUGCUAUAGUAUACAAUAUUAUAUUACUAUAUUAUAAUAAUAAUAUAUUACAUUACAAUAAUAUUAUACUAUAUCAUAUAUUUAUGCAUUAAUAUAUAUUAUAUAUUAUUAUACUUUGUUGUAUAAUACAUUGCAAUACUCUUUAUAGUCAUUUUGUCAUACCCAAAGUACAAUUUGUUUAUCAAAUACACGUUAAAAUAGCACAAUAGUUUAAAAAUAUAGUUACCAAACAGCAAACAAUUUUUUAUAAAAAUUCUAUUUUCAAAAGCCCUACGGUCAACACUUUUUCCAAAUGGAGCCUUCGUCACAAGAC
This 897-nucleotide long non-coding RNA is filed under the name Phoenix dactylifera (date palm). RNAcentral's name for it is "long non-coding RNA (PDAC_LNC017209)". Lineage: Eukaryota; Viridiplantae; Streptophyta; Magnoliopsida; Arecales; Arecaceae. The record is from RNAcentral.